CUACGGGUUGCUGCAGUGAGGAAUAUUGCGCAAUGGAGGAAACUCUGACGCAGCGACGCCGCGUGAAGGAAGAAGGCCCUAUGGGUCGUAAACUUCUGUAGAGAGGGAAGAAAAAUUUGCUAUAUGCAUUUUUGACGGUACCUCUAAAGUAAGGAUCGGCCAACUACGUGCCAGCAGCCGCGGUAAUACGUAGGAUCCAAGCGUUGUCCGGAUUUACUGGGUGUAAAGGGAGCGCAGGCGGGUUUUUAAGUCGAUGGUGAAAUCGUGCAGCUUAACUGUACAACUGCCUUCGAUACUGAAAAUCUUGAAUAUGGAAGAGGGUGACGGAAUUCAUGGUGUAGCAGUGAAAUGCGUAGAUAUCAUGAAGAACACCGGUAGCGAAGGCGGUCACCUGGUCCAUUAUUAACGCUCAUGCUCGAAAGCGUGGGGAGCAAACAGGAUUAGAUACCCCCGUAGUC
This 458-nucleotide ribosomal RNA is filed under the name uncultured bacterium. RNAcentral's name for it is "partial 16S ribosomal RNA". It matches the Rfam family "Bacterial small subunit ribosomal RNA", at positions 339 to 795 of the family's 1533-position model. The record is from RNAcentral.